UACGUAGGGUGCAAGCGUUGUCCGGAAUUAUUGGGCGUAAAGAGCUCGUAGGCGGUCUGUCGCGUCGGAUGUGAAAAUCCAGGGCUCAACCCUGGACCUGCAUUCGAUACGGGCAGACUAGAGUUCGGUAGGGGAGACUGGAAUUCCUGGUGUAGCGGUGAAAUGCGCAGAUAUCAGGAGGAACACCGGUGGCGAAGGCGAGGUGCUGGACCCUUUCUGACGCUGAGGCGCGAAAGCCAGGGGAGCAAACGGG
This 253-nucleotide ribosomal RNA is filed under the name uncultured bacterium. Its description in RNAcentral is "partial 16S ribosomal RNA". It matches the Rfam family "Bacterial small subunit ribosomal RNA", at positions 524 to 776 of the family's 1533-position model. The record is from RNAcentral.